This 764-nucleotide long non-coding RNA is filed under the name Malus domestica (apple). RNAcentral describes it as "long non-coding RNA (MDOM_LNC016982)". The record is from RNAcentral. Lineage: Eukaryota; Viridiplantae; Streptophyta; Magnoliopsida; Rosales; Rosaceae.
AUUGAGUGUUGAAGUGAUAAACCACUUAACGAGACGGAAACUAGGCAAGGACUUCACCUUUGUGUCCCUAUCCUUAUGGUUCACUAAGUUUAUUGUAAACUAUAUAAUGAACAAUAAUCACAUGCUCUCCAAAAUGUUUGAUGUGUAUAACACAAUUGAAAUAAGUUUCAAGAGAGAUAGUGGGAGUUUAGGGACCAUGACUAUUGUAGUCAAAGGAGAAGUCAAAUGAAGAAGAUAAAAUUAACUCCAAGGGAACAAACUUUCUUUAUGAAAGGAUGGACAUUGGAAAGGGUAUUUGCAAGAAAUGUCUUGCAAGUGUCAAGAACACACCUUUCGAAGGUGUUGUAAAUUGUUCUUGAAUAGUUCAAAACAGUUGGUUCUUCUACUUGAAUGUUUGAUUCCGUAUUAGUAACUAUGUUUUACAAUCGUUGUAAAAGUGUGGCUAAUAAGAAGUAGAAGAUUAAUGAGAGAAGAAAAAGUACUUCACAUUCGGAAAGUGAAUAAAAUAUAGAUUUCUGCGAAAGCAGAUGGUACUUACUUUCUCAUAUGAACUACCAAAGAAAUUGGAAAAACAUAGAUUGUCUUUAUAUUCCAAUUUUAAGGAACUAAAUUCCAUCACUGUGUGAAAUGGAUAAAUGUUUUGUUUGACAAAACAUUGUUCUUUAUUAAUCAAUGAUUGGAUUAUGGUAAUCUAAUUGAUUAUCUCUAUAGUAGAGAUAAUAUGGUAGUGUUAACUGUUUAGAAAAUAAUGAUGCUUAAAACCC